Molecule: long non-coding RNA, 244 nt
Filed under: Micromonas commoda
Lineage: Eukaryota; Viridiplantae; Chlorophyta; Mamiellophyceae; Mamiellales; Mamiellaceae
Description: long non-coding RNA (MCOM_LNC000295)
Source: RNAcentral
GCUGGUCUUCGACGAGGCGUUUGUGGAGAAGUGCGCAUCCGCGAUGCCCGAGUUGCCCGGAGCGAUUCGCGCCAGGUACGCGGACCUCGGCUUGCCCCCCGCGGACGUCCAGGUGCUCGUGGAGGAUAAGGAACUCGUGGAGUACUUCGACGCCGCGCUGGCGGCGGGGGCGCCCGCGAAGCAGUGCGCCAACUGGCUCACCGGCGACGUGAUGGCGUGGCUUAAAAACGCCAAGGACGUCGCG